CUUUGUGAGAUUGAGUUGGGUCACUUCGAGUUGCUGUCGUCUUUAGCUUCAGGAGUCAGAGGUUUAUUUUUGUACCAGAAUCGAAGCCUCCGUUUGGAGCAGGUUCUUAUUUAUCGCUUUAUUUAUUUAUUUUCCGCAUCGCUUUAUUUAUUUAUUUCCCGCAUCGCUUUUAUUUUAUUUAUUUCCAGCAUCGCUUUUAUUUUAUUUAUUUCCCGCACUCGCUUUACUUUUUUUAUUUUCCGCAUCGCUUUUAUUUUAUUUAUUUU
Molecule: long non-coding RNA, 266 nt
Filed under: Lathyrus oleraceus (garden pea)
Lineage: Eukaryota; Viridiplantae; Streptophyta; Magnoliopsida; Fabales; Fabaceae
Description: Pisum sativum (pea) long non-coding RNA (PSAT_LNC042286)
Source: RNAcentral